Molecule: long non-coding RNA, 4589 nt
Organism: Gasterosteus aculeatus (three-spined stickleback)
Lineage: Eukaryota; Metazoa; Chordata; Actinopteri; Perciformes; Gasterosteidae
Source: Ensembl
AUGUCCCAGUCUGGGAAACUCCUUCAUUUGUAUGUGGAAGUGAGGUCUGCCACGGAUCAAAGUGGCGGGAAGGAGGGGAUCGCUCAGGGGCGUUCGGUCCAGGGCGGCCCGGCAGAGCUCCUGUCUCAGCUUGCAAGCCACACCGCCGUUGCCAAGUCAUCCGCGGCUCACCGACUGGCUCAGGAACGCAAACGGUCUCCUUCUAGAGGCGGCGUCCAGCUGCAGCCGGCCGGCGGCGGCGGCCCCUCCUCGUCCCCCAAGCACGGCAGCGACUGGCCAUCCGUUGUCCAAUCGCCACCGAUGAUGUCCUCGUCCGGGAAAGUCAGUGCCCCUCACACGCCGCUGAACUGCCGUGGGUUCAGCGGGGGCAAAGUCGGCGACGGCACGCGGUCCGUUGUCACCUUCGGUUACAUUGAGAAGUCCAACGUGAGAACGAUGGACAGUCCGCGCAGCUCUCUGUGCGAGCGGGGGACCCGAGAGGAAAGAUCCACGCCAUCCCACUACCGUAAAAGGUUCAGCGACCCGGUUUGGUGUGGGAGCCCCGACUCAUCGUGCAGCUCCAGUCCCAAGCUGACCUUCAGACCUCCUGGCGUUCGCCAACCUGCCUUGGACCCCAUUGGCAGAGCAGCUACCCAGAGGGCCGUUGAGGAGUUUGGCUCCCCUCUGCUGCGGAUCAAACUAGCGCACGCCCUCGAGCAAUCGGCGUCCUCACGCUACAACCAGCAGCCCUGGUCCGGGUCGCCCGUUCAGCGCCAGAGCAUCAGCGCUAACCUCAUAGACCACCUCCCGGACCGGAGCCAGGCCACUUGCGGACUUCCCCGGAGCCCGGCGUCAGACCAGCUGUCCUCCCAGUCCGUCGACUCCCAUAGCCCCCUGGCAGGAAGUCCAGCUGUCAAACGACACGUCCACAGGUCCAGCACUUCACCACAAGCAGCACUCCCCCAACUUGGCAAUAAUGUAGUGGAGGGCUUGAACCAGUUAAGUGACAGUAAAUCCUCCUCUCCUGCUCACAGCCCCGAUGUCGCCGGCAGGCAAGCGGAGGAGGCCACCAAAGUAUCCUCCAUUCUUACAGGGGAAAGAGGGUCCUUGUUGCACAACGCUUUAGGGGAUCCCACCGAAGAAUUUCAUAACUCAGCUCCCAACGCACAACAGUCCAAGCCGACACUUAAGAUGAACAUCCCUUUAAACGACCUACACACGGCAGCAACGGACAACGCCACUACAACGACCAACUCGCACCAGCCUGAAAACUCCACAUUGACGUUGCACAAAACAAACUCCCGCGCCAACUAUGAAAUGCGGCGGGAGGACUGUGUUUGGAGGUCCCAGCGCCCGAGCCCGACGGGUUCCCCCGCCAUUCCUUCACGCGUUUUCCGGGCCUCCCAUCCUCCCACCGAGCUCAGCUCUCCCAUGAGGGACCCCAGGCUACUCCAGGCCGAGCUCCGGGCACCGGACACCCCAACACUGCACCGCCGGCGGCUCCCGUGGUGCGCCAGGGACUCCUGGUCCCUAGGCCUGGACAAGAGAGAGCACCUGAGCGGCUUCGAACGCGGGGACUGCACUGAGCUUGCUCGCAGACUCUUCAUCAACCAGGGAGUUGAGGUGGCGCCGGUCAGCUGGACUUCCAGGCAGCAGUGGGGGAGCCAGCUGGAGAGCAGCCCGAGGCCGAGUCACGAGGCCGGGUUUGUGUCCGGCGGUGACCAAACUCCCGACCGCCAACCCGAGGCCUACCGCAGGCCGCUCAGUCCCACCGCCCAGCAGAAACGGGCGGAGCAGAGGAGGAGGGAGAUCCUGCUCCUGGGGCCGGUGGCACUGGACUCUCCGGAGGAAGACGAGGGCUGCGAGGAGGAAGGCCAGGGGGACGAGACUGAGGGAUACGAAGGGGAACGACAAAGGGUGGAGGAGCCGGCAGAGGCGGAGCAGAAUGUAGCAAUGGGAGGGUCGUCCUCGCGGAGCUCCAGCGGGGUGACGGGCAGCUUGGGGGACAGGGAAUGUGGUUCGCCCGGGUCCAGUCAGUCCAGUCACCAGAGCAACGAGACCGGCGCCGCCACCUCAGGAAUACAGACGGACAGUGGCUGUGCAGGGCCGGUUCCCUCGCUCCAUUGUCAGAGGAUCGCUCGUGCCAAGUGGGAGUUUUUGUUCGGGACCCAAGCGGAGGAGGCCACUACCAGGGGGGAGAAAAAUGCCCUGGAGACCUCCACCGCGCCCCCCAGCGGUAACUCCAGCGAGUCUCCCACCCCGACUCCCCCGUCCUCCCUACCCCUGCUCUCCGGCAACCACGAGGUGCAGGACGUGGAGGUCGAGCUGGUGACCCCUCCUCCCGCCUUUGUUGGCGCUUCGCCCAAAACCGGCAUCAUCCGGCGCACGCUGAAGUACUCGGAGACCGACCUGGACGCCGUCCCGCUGCGCUGCUACCGGGAGACGGACAUCGACGAGGUGCUGCUGGCCGAGCUGGACGACGGAGACUCGGCCUUCGGGAGCAACCGCAGCGUUCAGGGGACCUCGGGGACGGGCAGCAGCCCGCUGGGGGGUCCGGCCUACGGGAGGGAGGACGGGGCGCAUCAGGAGGAGAGAAGACUGUGUGGAGGGGUGGGGGGCGAGGAGGAUGAGGAGGAGGAAGAGGAGGAGGAAGAGGAAGAAAUGGUGAGCUGGGCCAGUGUGAGGAUGCAAGGAGACAAUAGGAAGCAGCAGUUUGCAGCUCAGGAGGAGCCAGAGGUGUUUGGACACAUGCUGAAGAGGUGAAACGACACACAACCUGUAUCUUUAUCUGAAUUUAGACCCCAAUCAUAACCUUCAUUUCUUAGGUAGGUUUGGUGGCAUCAUGCACUAUUCAGCACUCCGGUCUUUACUAUAAAGGAAUUAUAGUUAAGAGUCCUUUAGGCUAGAUCUCCGCUUCUGAGUGAAGGCAAAGCUUCUAGGAUGUAAAAUUUCAUUAAAAUGUGUCACAGUAUAUAUCAUGAAAAAAUGGUAUAUAAUAGUACAGAAUGUCAGAAAGGUCUGUGUUUAUUAAAAUCAACUUUCACGAUUUCACUUCUGGACUUUAAAAAGUCCUUAUUGGGAAUGUUGGAAGAAACGCAGCCAAACAUGCUCAGGUUUAAACAGAAUAUGAACUAUUUACUAUUUGUGACUGAGGUGUCUUGCUCAGGUACUGCCCGGGCUCGAACCGCCAACCUUGCGGUUCCCGGUGUUAUUUGCAUUUUUAGUUAGUUUAUUUUAUUUUUGAGAACAUCAAAGCCCCCUGUGAUCUUUGGUGGACCCCGUUGGGCUCCAGCGGGUCGGAAUGUUUCUUUGCACAUUUUAUAUUUUUUUUUGCAAACAUAUCUGCGUCGCUUUCGUGUUUUUUAAGCCCCUCCCCCUCCAUCCCUGUCCAGAACAAUGGAAACGUUUUUCGACAACCACCACCCGGCCCUGAAAUCCCCGCUGCUGGUCUCCGGGCCCCGCUGCGCUGCUGAGGACACCUUCAGCCGCCACUUCGAGAGCAUCAUGGAGUCUCACCGCGCCAAAGGCACGUCCUACAACAGCCUGGACAGCGAGGAGCUGCUGACCUCCAGCGCCCAAACCGUCCUGACCUUUGACCUGCCCACGCUAACCCCGGCCAUCCACGGGCCAGUCUGCCACAGCGCCAGGCAGAUCGUGCAGCUCAGCUUCGCCCCGCUUGCCCACGACGAGAGGCCCAGCAUCUCAGACUCUAUCUUUACCGUGACGGGGGACUCGGACGCCACCCGGGCGCCGUCCAGCGAGAGGCUGAGCAGCGGCUCGGAGGACACGCCGCCCAGAGGGCGAGGGUGCUCGCAGCUGGGGAGCAGCUGGUACAGCAACCCGUCCUUCUCAUUACUGAGGUAGGUGAGCAGCACGUCGAGAAGUCACCAGCAAUUCUACUGUGGAAGUUAUAGUAUCUGUUUUAUUUGGGCCACUUGGGGGUGAUGGAAUCAAACUAUCAACCCAACGUUGACAUGCUUUAUGUGUUAGAUCUGUAUUCUCGCGUGUGUCCACCAGGAGGCGACUCCUCUGGUCCUGACCGGAUUCUGUCCCAAUUACAUGUGCUUGUCCCUCUUGACACAUUUCCCAAGCGUCACCCAAACGACUACUAAUUAUUGAGUCUUUCUAAAUCCUAUAAUAUAAUAAUAUAUAAUAUCAUAUCACACAUGUUACAGAUGACGUUUUAUAUGAGUUAUAUCACAUUGUUAUAUUUUGAAUAGUGGUAGAACAUGAGCCGUAUUCUCUGUUGGACCUGCCGCAAGUUCAAACAUCUGGUGGAAAGACCCGGCUGUUAGAGAGGCAGUUUUAAGUGAGAGGUGUUCAACAAUCACACAAGUUCAGGGGCUCUUUCGUUAAAUGUUUCACAGCGCUGACGGCUGACACACGUUCGGACGGUUCUCCAGUGAUUUGCUGAGGAACCGAGUGAUGGGGAAUCUGGGUCACGUUUGUUGUUGGAUUUCCUUCUGAUUUCUUUUCAUCUCCACUCUGCACUAAAACGGGGCAAGAGCUGCCUUUUCAUAUGAAACAUUUGUAUACAAGGAGACGGAGCUGGAGGCGGAGGAGGGAUCAUCGUCAAUUGGCCUGGUGGAGGUCACUGAGGUAGUCAAACA